Molecule: long non-coding RNA, 531 nt
Organism: Colius striatus (speckled mousebird)
Lineage: Eukaryota; Metazoa; Chordata; Aves; Coliiformes; Coliidae
Exons: 2
Source: RefSeq, a predicted model, not a curated record
UUUGAUACUAUUGAUUCGUGUUUUAGCUUCUAACUGAGUUAAUACUUGUUUGAUUGAUAUCAAUUUUGGAUCUUCCUUCAAUUUUAAUAUCAUCAAAGGGUUGGUUUUACCGCUUACUGCUUUUUCAGGAUCGAUGGGCAUAGCAGUAAUUUGCAUACCUUGGAUUAUAGAGCGGAUUAGUCUAAUCAAACACGGGAUCAUACAAGCUUCUUGGGCAUUUAAUGAUUGUUGGCAAGGAGCGUGCUGCUCACCUGGGCCUGACCAAUGGAUUCCGGAGGGUUGUGAACGAAGGGCCGGAGGAUGGCCAGUCUGUGUAUCACGUACGUCUACGUCAGUUGGGCUGGCCACCUGGCUAAGAGUUUUUCACCGCAGGAGUUGCUGCACAUGUACACGUCGCCACUGCAUGGAUUUCGACUGUUGCCCAUCAAUCUAGCCUCUGUCGAUGUCUGAUUUUUCUGUGACGUGUGUCUGUGGAAGGUAAUAAAGCUUUGAGCAGCAGUUGCACAAUAAAGAUCGAGCAUGGGGAUAUCA